GGGCCUGUAGCUCAAUGGUUAGAGCCGGCCGCUCAUAACGGUCUGGUUGGGGGUUCAAGUCCCUCCAGGCCCACGA
This 76-nucleotide transfer RNA is filed under the name Microvirga ossetica. RNAcentral's name for it is "tRNA-Met". It matches the Rfam family "tRNA". Rfam says of the family: Transfer RNA (tRNA) molecules are approximately 80 nucleotides in length. Their secondary structure includes four short double-helical elements and three loops (D, anti-codon, and T loops). The record is from RNAcentral. Lineage: Bacteria; Pseudomonadati; Pseudomonadota; Alphaproteobacteria; Hyphomicrobiales; Methylobacteriaceae.